Molecule: long non-coding RNA, 391 nt
Organism: Xenia sp. Carnegie-2017
Lineage: Eukaryota; Metazoa; Cnidaria; Anthozoa; Malacalcyonacea; Xeniidae
Exons: 3
Source: RefSeq, a predicted model, not a curated record
ACGGGGAUGAAAUAUGUGUUUUAGCGAGGAUGGAAAUGUAUUGUACGCUCCAAUGAACGAACGAAAUGCUAAAUGACAAAGAAGGAAUGUGGACAAUGUAACAAGUCUUAAUUUAAGAGGAACAACAACACAGAAUUGUUCAAGUCCCAUAGGAAUGUCAUAUUCUUCCUGUUGUGUGCUCUUUAACUGUUGACAAGAUGAAGGAAAUGUCUUCUUCAAAGCCAAGAUCAAGUAACCUACCACAUAAAAAUCAGGAGUUUAGAUUAGCCAUGUUUAAUGUUUGUGAUUAUUUUAACUAACCUGUCAGCCUCGUCGAGGAUAAGCCAUCUGAUUUGUGAUAAUUUAAGGCAUGAAGUGGUCUGUUGAAAAAUAAAACAAUUUAUAUGAUGAA